This 486-nucleotide ribosomal RNA is filed under the name uncultured bacterium. Its description in RNAcentral is "partial 16S ribosomal RNA". It matches the Rfam family "Bacterial small subunit ribosomal RNA", at positions 28 to 507 of the family's 1533-position model. The record is from RNAcentral.
GAUGAACGCUGGCGGCGUGCCUAAUACAUGCAAGUCGAACGCUGGAACUCUAGCUUGCUCGCUUGAAGGAGUGGCGAACGGGUGAGUAAUACAUAAGCAACCUACCCACGAAGACUGGGAUAAUCUCUGGAAACGGGGACUAAUACCGGAUAGGUAAUCGGAAGGCAUCUUCUGAUUAUUAAAGGUUAAAAACACUGUUGGAUGGGCUUAUGGCGCAUUAGUUAGUUGGUGAGGUAACGGCCCACCAAGACGAUGAUGCGUAGCCGGCCUGAGAGGGUGAACGGCCACAUUGGGACUGAGACACGGCCCAGACUCCUACGGGAGGCAGCAGUAGGGAAUUUUCGGCAAUGGGGGAAACCCUGACCGAGCAACGCCGCGUGAGUGAUGACGGCCUUCGGGUUGUAAAGCUAUGUUGUAAGGGAAGAACGGCAGAUAGAGAAUAUCUAAAUGACGGUACCUUACCAGAAAGCCACGGCUAACUACGUG